AUGAAUUGUAUAAUAAAAACAAAAUCUUCAAAUGGCCUUGAAUUAGUAAUGAACCUGUCUUUUGUUUGCUGCUCUGGUUUGUUUGACUAAUCACUGUAGAUGAAAAAAAUGAGCAGUGUUUGCUUUUGCUGGUUUGUUUUGUUUCAUUGCUUUUUCUGGCCCUUGCGUAGAAGACAAAGCAAUUUUUAUGCCCAUCAGAAAUAACUUGAGUUACAGCAUUGAGCUCAAGAUUUUGAGCUAUUUCAUCUGAGAACCUAACUUUUAUAAAAUUUUACCUAGGUCUUUUUCUUAUAGACCAUUAAACCUUUAAUUAACUGUUCCAUCACCCUAAGCAAUUAUUAGUCAGGCAAACCUAAAUUUAUGUUUUCAAAAAGUAUUUAGGUUAUUGGUUGCCAUGGAGCUGUUGUAAUCUGCAAAGCAAUUAAUUUCAAAACCCUUUAAGAAUUUUAAAGAAAAUCUUGGCUGGAAUGCCAUAAGCAGUGAGUUUUCUCAACACCUGCAGAAGGCUCAACUGAUUCAAGGUAGGUAUAAAAACAGAUAGUGAGACAGAACACUUAGAAAGCUUUACGUGCUAACUCUAUAGUGGCAUGUCUUUCUUUUUUUUUUUAGAGAGUUCAAAUAAUGACAAUUUGAGCUCUCAGUUUUCCUUGACAUAAUUUUCUUAUCAGUUAAAAUCUCUUCCUGGUGUGCAUGGGUAGGGAAAUCAGAUGGCCAACAGGAGGCAUGACUAGAUUCCAGCUCUGGACAAAGCAGCUUGUGGAAGCUCGCAUUGUAAAUUUUAGCUCUAGAUCGACUACAAGAACAAACCAGCAAUUCUAAGAGGACCCAUAGAUCCUCUGAAGGAAGUGGACUGCUCCUACAGGACUUGGAGACACCCCAAAAACUGUUGCUUCCAAGUCUUGGCUGUCGUGGAUACUGCUGCAGAAAUCAUGGGAGUGCAAAUAUCUCUGGCAUACUGAUUUCCAGUCUUUUGGGUGAAUACCAAGCAAGUGGAAUACUGGAUCAUAAGGUAGUUCUAUUUUUAGUUUUUCAAGGAAUGUCCAAAUUGUUCUCCAGAGUUGUACCAACUUACAUUCCCAUCAACAGUAUAUGAGGGUUCCCUUUUUUCCAUGUCUUCGUCAGCAUUUAUUAUUGCCUGACUUUUGGAUAAAAGCCAUUUUAGCUGUAUUAAGAUGAUAUCUCAUUGUAGUUUUUAUUUGUAUUUCUGGGAUAACUAAUGAUGCUGAGCACCUUUUCAUAUCAUGUUUAUCAUGUUAUGUCUUCUUUUGAAAAAUGUCUAUUCAGAUCUUUCACCCAUUUGUUAAUUGGAUUAUUUGAUUUUUUUCCUUUAGAGUUAUUUUUCUCCUUACAUACUCUGUAAGGAGUACUCCUUACAUCCCCAUCACAGAUGGGUGGUUCGCAAAUAUUUUCUCCCACUCUAUAGAUUGUCUCUUCACUUGGUUGACUGUUUAUUUUGCUGUGCAGAAGCUUUUUAACUUGAUGUGAUUCUAUUUGUUCAUUUUUUGCUUUGGUUGCCUGUAUUUACUGGGUAUUACUCAAAAGACCUUUGUCUAGUCCAAUGUCCUAAAGAGUUUCCCCAAUGGUUUAUUUUAGUAGUUUUAUAUUUGAUGUAUUAGAUUUAAGUCUUUAAAACAUUUUUACUUGAUUUUUGUAUAUGGUAAGAGGUAUGGGUCUAGUUCCAUUCUUCUACAUAUGGAUAUUGGAUUUCCAUAGCACUAUUUAAUUCUGUCAUAUGUGGCUUUUAUGGUAUUGAGGUAUGUUCCUUCUAUAUCCAGUUCUUUUGAGGGUUUUUAUUAUAAAAUGGUGUUGAAUUUUAUCAAAUACUUUUUAGCAUCAGUUGAAAUGAUCAUACAGUUUUUGUCCUUCAUGCUGUUGAUAUGAUGUAUAAUAUUGAUUGAUUUGCGUAUGUUGAACCAUGCUUGCAUCCCUAGGACAAAUUUCUCUUAGUCAUGAUAAAUGAUCUUUUUAAAGUGUUAUUGAAUUCAGUUUGGUAUUU
This 1996-nucleotide long non-coding RNA is filed under the name Callithrix jacchus (white-tufted-ear marmoset). RNAcentral's name for it is "lncRNA (ENSCJAG00000076479.1)". The record is from RNAcentral. Lineage: Eukaryota; Metazoa; Chordata; Mammalia; Primates; Cebidae.